Molecule: ribosomal RNA, 1549 nt
Filed under: Clostridioides sp. ZZV15-6598
Lineage: Bacteria; Bacillati; Bacillota; Clostridia; Peptostreptococcales; Peptostreptococcaceae
Description: partial 23S ribosomal RNA
Rfam family: Bacterial large subunit ribosomal RNA
Source: RNAcentral
GGUCAAGUUAUUAAGGGUGCAGGGCGGAUGCCUUGGCACUAGGAGCCGAUGAAGGACGCGAUAAGCUGCGAUAAGCUUCGGGGAGUUGCACGUAAACUUUGAUCCGAAGAUUUCCGAAUGAGGAAACUCACUUAGAGUAAUGUCUAAGUAUCAUUAAGUGAAUACAUAGCUUAAUGAGGGGAACUCAGGGAACUGAAACAUCUAAGUACCUGAAGGAAGAGAAAGAAAUUCGAUUCCGUAAGUAGCGGCGAGCGAACGCGGAAUAGCCCAAACCAAUAAAGUUUUCUUUAUUGGGGUUGCGGACAUAUCUUAAACGAAGAGGUAUCGUAAUUGAAGAGGUUUGGAAAGACCCACCACAGAAGGUAAUAGUCCUGUAUGUCAAACGAGAAAACUUCAGAUAUGAUCCAGAGUACCACGGGACACGUGAAACCCUGUGGGAAGCAGGAGGGACCACCCUCCAAGGCUAAAUACUACCUAGUGACCGAUAGCGUAUAGUACCGUGAGGGAAAGGUGAAAAGAACCCCGGGAGGGGAGUGAAAUAGAACCUGAAACCCUGCACUUACAAGCUGUGGAAGCACAUUUCUUGUGUGACCGCGUACUUUUUGUAGAACGGGCCAACGAGUUACGUUAAGUAGCAAGGUUAAGCACUUAAGGUGUGGAGCCGUAGCGAAAGCGAGUUUUAACUGAGCGUUCAGUUACUUGACGUAGACCCGAAACCGGGCGACCUACCCAUGAGCAGGAUGAAGCGAAAGUAAAAUUUCGUGGAGGUCCGAACCCACGAGCGUUGAAAAGCUCGGGGAUGACUUGUGGGUAGCGGUGAAAUUCCAAUCGAGCCCGGAGAUAGCUGGUUCUCCCCGAAAUAGCUUUAGGGCUAGCCUCAAGGUGAGAGAUACGGAGGUAGAGCACUGAAUGUCCUAGGGGGUAUUGCACCUACCGAAGACUAUCAAACUCCGAAUGCCGUCAUCUUAUACUUGGGAGUCAGACUGUGGGUGAUAAGAUUCAUAGUCGAAAGGGCAACAGCCCAGAUCGUCAGCUAAGGUCCCUAAAUGUAAGUUAAGUGGUAAAGGAUGUGGGAUUGCACAGACAACCAGGAUGUUGGCUUAGAAGCAGCCACUCAUUCAAAGAGUGCGUAAUAGCUCACUGGUCGAGUGAUCCUGCGCCGAAGAUUUCCGGGGCUAAAACUUACUACCGAAGCUACGGCAUCAGUAAUGAUGGGUAGGGGAGCUUCCCAUACAGGCUGAAGCAUGACCGUAAGGACAUGUGGACAGUAUGGGAGUGAGAAUGUUGGCAUGAGUAGCGAGAUGUGGGUGAGAAUCCCACAGGCCGUAAACCCAAGGUUUCCAGGGGAAGGUUCGUCCGCCCUGGGUUAGUCGGGACCUAAGCUGAGGCCGAAAGGCGUAGGUGAUGGACAACAGGUUGAUAUUCCUGUACUACCGAUAACCGUUUGAGAGAUGGGAUGACACAGUAGGAUAAGCUAAGCACACUGUUGGUUAUGUGUGCCCAAGCAUUGAGGCAGUCAGAGUAGGUAAAUCCGCUUUGAUAAUGCUGG